AGCCAACUCUAGCCCCCCCCCCCCNNNNNNNNNNNNNNNNNNNNCCCCCCCCCCCCCCCCCCAUCAAACAUGUAAAAAUCUACUAGACACCUAAACUAAAACAUUCCUCUGACUUAGUAUAGGCGAUAGAAUAGUCACUAGGCGCGAUAGAGAUUCGUACCGUAAGGGAAAGAUGAAAUAGCAGUGAAUAAGCCAAGCAGCAAACAGCAAAGAUAGACCCUUGUACCUCUUGCAUCAUGAUCUAGCUAGAACAACCAAGCAAAGCGGACUUAAGCUUGCCACCCCGAAACCUAAGCGAGCUACUUGUAAGCAGCUACCCCUGAGCGAACCCGUCUCUGUUGCAAAAGAGUGGGAUGACUUACUAGUAGAGGUGAAAAGCCAAUCGAGCUGGGUGAUAGCUGGUUACCUGCGAAAUGAAUCUAAGUUCAACCUUGACAUCUCCUCCAGGAACCUUCAGCCACCCCAACGAAGAUAGUCAAGAGCAAUUUAAAGGGGGUACAGCCCCUUUAAAAAAGGAUACAACCUCCUCUAGCGGAUAACUAAUAACUCAUGCACAACAAUUGUGGGCCUUUAAGCAGCCACCAACAAAGAGUGCGUCAAAGCUCUACUUCCACAAAAAUCCUAGACCACCACGACUCCCUUCUCACUAUCAGGUUAAUCUAUACCCAUAGAAGAAUUAAUGCUAAAAUGAGUAACUAGGGGAACCCCCUCUAAAGCGCAAACUUACAUCCUCACAUUAUUAACAGACACCUAAUACACUAAUCUCAACAAGACCAUGUAUUUUACCCCCUGUUAACCCAACCCAGGAGCGCCUACUAGAAAGAUUUAAAUCUGUAAAAGGAACUAGGCAAAUAUCAAGGCCCGACUGUUUACCAAAAACAUAGCCUUCAGCCAGACCAAGUAUUGAAGGUGAUGCCUGCCCAGUGACUUCGUGUUCAACGGCCGCGGUAUCCUAACCGUGCGAAGGUAGCGCAAUCAAUUGUCCCAUAAAUCGAGACUUGUAUGAAUGGCUAAACGAGGUCUUAACUGUCUCUUACAGAUAAUCAGUGAAAUUGAUCUUCCUGUGCAAAAGCAGGAAUGAGCACAUAAGACGAGAAGACCCUGUGGAACUUAAAAAUCAGCAGCCACCUCAUAACAAAACCCACCCACCGGGCCCACCACCAACAAAGCGCUGGCUCGCAUUUUUCGGUUGGGGCGACCUUGGAGAAAAACAAAUCCUCCAAAAACAAGACCACUUCUUCUUAACCAAGAGCUACCCCUCAACGUACUAAUAGUAACCAGACCCAAUAUAAUUGACCAAUGGACCAAGCUACCCCAGGGAUAACAGCGCAAUCUCCUCCAAGAGCCCAUAUCGACGAGGAGGUUUACGACCUCGAUGUUGGAUCAGGACAUCCUAAUGGUGCAGCCGCUAUUAAGGGUUCGUUUGUUCAACGAUUAAUAGUCCUACGUGAUCUGAGUUCAGACCGGAGCAAUCCAGGUCGGUUUCUAUCUAUGUUGAACUUUUCCUAGUACGAAAGGACCGGAAAAGUAGGGCCAAUGCUUCAACGUACGCCCCCUCUCUAAGUAAUGACCACAACUAAAUUACAAAGAGAUCCCACACAACACCUAAUCCUAGAAAAGGAUC
Molecule: ribosomal RNA, 1624 nt
Filed under: Ectopistes migratorius (passenger pigeon)
Lineage: Eukaryota; Metazoa; Chordata; Aves; Columbiformes; Columbidae
Description: 16S ribosomal RNA
Rfam family: Bacterial large subunit ribosomal RNA
Source: RNAcentral